Molecule: non-coding RNA, 892 nt
Organism: Hydra vulgaris (swiftwater hydra)
Lineage: Eukaryota; Metazoa; Cnidaria; Hydrozoa; Anthoathecata; Hydridae
Source: RefSeq, a predicted model, not a curated record
GAUCCCUUUAAGAGAAAUGAAUCAAAUUUGUCAGCACUGCGGUGCUAAGAAAUUUCCAGAUGAAAAACAUUUUCUUUGUUGCCAUAAUGGUAAGGUAACUUUGCCUCCACUAUCACCAUUUACACAAGUUUUACAGGAUUUAUUUACAUGGAGUUAUGUAGAUUGUGUAUGUAGAUAAUGUUAAAAGUUCAGAUAAAGUUAAAUGCGCUUUUACUUUUGUUACUAUCGGUUGUUUUGUUAGGCUUAGUGAUGCGCAGAUUUUUUUGUGCACUGUUUUGUGCUUUUUUAAGAUUUUCUUCUGUUCUGGAGUUUUGAGAUUAUAAUUUCCAGACUUAUAAAAAAGCACAUUUAGAAUUAAUUCGUUCUAUUGCAUCUCAUCAUAUCUUCGAAGUAGGUUGUAUUCUGUUUAAUCAUUUUAAUUGUUUACAUUUUUUAUGUCUUAACGUGUUUAUUACCCUUAUUUAAUUUGUUUUUAAGCAUAUUUCUUUUUAUUUUUUAUAUCGAAUUAAUAAUGUCCCAAAACAUUGAAAUGAAGGUUUGUAUUUAUUUAGAUGUGUUAUUAUGUUACGGAUUUGUAUCAUGUUACGUAGUUAGUUCUUGAAUAUGUUUAUUUUUUAGUCGCUGAACUACUAAGAAAUGACGACAGCAUUAUUGGGGAAAUUAACAACAAUGAAAAUAGAGUUAAUAAAGAGAGAGCUUAUGAAGACACAGAGUUAAAGAGUGAGAUAAGUCAGUGUUUUUGCUAUUAGGAGAGUUGGAUCAAAAACUAAGUAUGAACUACAUGAUUAGUAUAGUUAAAUAAAUAAGACAUUUAUAUUAAGAUUUAUAAAGUUUAUUUUAGUUCAUAGUUUUGGUUUAGUUUAUAGUUAUUUUUACUUUAUGGAGGAAAUGA